AUUCAGCUGACGAGUCACAAGUGGGACGAAAUGCGCAUCCUGGAU
Molecule: non-coding RNA, 45 nt
Filed under: Trichobilharzia regenti
Lineage: Eukaryota; Metazoa; Platyhelminthes; Trematoda; Strigeidida; Schistosomatidae
Source: RNAcentral